Molecule: non-coding RNA, 310 nt
Filed under: Carlito syrichta (Philippine tarsier)
Lineage: Eukaryota; Metazoa; Chordata; Mammalia; Primates; Tarsiidae
Source: RNAcentral
GCUGGGCACGAUGGCACAUACCUGUAGUCCCAGCUACCUGGGAGGCUGAGGUGGGAGGAUCUCUUGAGCUCAGGAGUUCUGGGCUGUAGUGAGCUAUGCCGAUUGGGUUGUCAGCAUUAUUUUGACAUCGAUAUGGAGAUAUUCUGAGAGCAGGGGACCACGAGGUUGCCUUAGGAGGGGCAAACCAGCCCAGGUCGGAAACGGGACAGGAAAUUUGCUUUGGUUCCAUUCCCUGUUGACUUGGCUCGCUCCUGUUGGCAUUCAACAGUGGAAGGAAGCUGUCUCCUGAGCUAUUUCAGAUACACUUUCU